Molecule: long non-coding RNA, 610 nt
Organism: Megalobrama amblycephala (Wuchang bream)
Lineage: Eukaryota; Metazoa; Chordata; Actinopteri; Cypriniformes; Xenocyprididae
Exons: 2
Source: RefSeq, a predicted model, not a curated record
CUGUUCGUGGACGUGAAGCGAAAAUAAGCAGAUGCCUUUUCAAGAUAAACCCCAAGGGAUCAAAAGCUGAGAAGAAACUUCAAGAAAGCAGAUGACGUUCAGUCCACAGCAUGUGUGUCAAACUCCGCUCCUGGGGAACCACUGUCCUGCAAAGUGCUCCAACACGCUCCAGAACACCGGCCUUGGAAGUUUCUAGCAAUCCUAAAGACAUUGUUUAGCUGGUUCAGGUGUGUUUAAUUAGUUUCUGUAGGGCCACUGUCCUGAGUUUGACACCCUUAUUCAAAAGGUUCUUACACUCUGAACUGAAAGUGCAAACUAUGACUAAGGCAAACAUGGAGAACAUUCUUCAGAAUGGAGUCCAAUCUCCCUCCAUUCACUUGCACAGAAAUGUUCAUCAGUGUCACAUGGACUUUAAGAACAUAUUUCCUGCUUUGUUUAAUUGUUUGUUUUUUAAUUACUCCUUGUAAUUCAUCUGUCGACCAGUGGUCAGGUUUUGAAGGCAGACUGUUUAAUUAUUAUUACACUGUAACUUUUUUUUCUUUGUUGUAUCUGUAUAUUUAGUAUACUGCUGUAAUUGAAACCAUUACUAGUUUUAAAACUGUUUUUGGCU